RNAcentral lists this ribosomal RNA (254 nucleotides) under uncultured bacterium. RNAcentral's name for it is "partial 16S ribosomal RNA". It matches the Rfam family "Bacterial small subunit ribosomal RNA", at positions 524 to 777 of the family's 1533-position model. The record is from RNAcentral.
UACGUAGGCAGCAAGCGUUGUUCGGAGUUACUGGGCGUAAAGGGUGCGUAGGCGGCUUUUAAGUUUGGUGUGAAAUCUCCCGGCUCAACUGGGAGGGUGCGCCGAAAACUGGCUGGCUGGAGUGUGGGAGAGGCUAGCGGAAUUCCUGGUGUAGCGGUGAAAUGCGUAGAUAUCAGGAGGAACACCUGCGGUGUAGACGGCUGGCUGGACCACUACUGACGCUGAGGCACGAAAGCGUGGGGGAGCAAACAGGG